This 70-nucleotide transfer RNA is filed under the name Dipodomys ordii (Ord's kangaroo rat). It matches the Rfam family "tRNA". Rfam says of the family: Transfer RNA (tRNA) molecules are approximately 80 nucleotides in length. Their secondary structure includes four short double-helical elements and three loops (D, anti-codon, and T loops). The record is from Rfam by way of RNAcentral. Lineage: Eukaryota; Metazoa; Chordata; Mammalia; Rodentia; Heteromyidae.
GGGAAAGUGGCUCAGUGGUAGAGUGCUUGCUUUGCAUGCAUGAGGUCCUGGAUUCGAUUCCCCAGCACCA